RNAcentral lists this unclassified non-coding RNA (255 nucleotides) under Hevea brasiliensis (rubber tree). The record is from RNAcentral. Lineage: Eukaryota; Viridiplantae; Streptophyta; Magnoliopsida; Malpighiales; Euphorbiaceae.
GGUGACGGUUGAAAAGUGGGAAGUUGGUACCGAUUCCGAGACCUUGGUCUAACUGAAAUACAUCCCUCUCCCCAACAACUGCACCAUUUACGAACUUUGUAUUAUCACGGGUGAUAUUUGCUUGCGCAAAUGCCACUUUAUCAAUGCCAGUACCUCCAAGGGUUGUUGGAGGUCCAUCCAUGCUUAAGCCACCACUAGGCAACGGACGAGAUCCAUGAGUGCAUACAGUAGUAGUUUCAUCGCGAGUGGUAAUUU